This 28-nucleotide small RNA is filed under the name Bombyx mori (domestic silkworm). RNAcentral's name for it is "ovarian small RNA-11642". Lineage: Eukaryota; Metazoa; Arthropoda; Insecta; Lepidoptera; Bombycidae. The record is from RNAcentral.
ACUACGUCUUGAGGAAGGCACGUGAGGC